UCUAUCAAAGGAGAAAAGUUCUCCACUGGCCUUAGGCGCCAAAACUCUUGGUGCAAAUCCAAGUGAUAGAAU
This 72-nucleotide transfer RNA is filed under the name Trimeresurus erythrurus. RNAcentral describes it as "tRNA-Leu". It matches the Rfam family "tRNA". From Rfam's summary of the family: Transfer RNA (tRNA) molecules are approximately 80 nucleotides in length. Lineage: Eukaryota; Metazoa; Chordata; Lepidosauria; Squamata; Viperidae. The record is from RNAcentral.